GUCGCAAGACAAAGUGGGGGACCUUCGGGCCUCAUGCCAUCAGAUGUGCCCAGAUGGGAUUAGCUAGUAGUGGGGUAAUGGCUCACCUAGGCGACGAUCCCUAGCUGGUCUGAGAGGAUGACCAGCCACACUGGAACUGAGACACGGUCCAGACUCCUACGGGAGGCAGCAGUGGGGAAUAUUGCACAAUGGGCGCAAGCCUGAUGCAGCCAUGCCGCGUGUAUGAAGAAGGCCUUCGGGUUGUAAAGUACUUUCAGCGAGGAGGAAGGCAUUAAGGUUAAUAACCUUAGUGAUUGACGUUACUCGCAGAAGAAGCACCGGCUAACUCCGUGCCAGCAGCCUCCGGUAAUACGGAGGGUGCAAGCGUUAAUCGGAAUUACUGGGCGUAAAGCGCACGCAGGCGGUCUGUUAAGUCAGAUGUGAAAUCCCCGGGUCAACCUGGGAAACUGGAUUUUGGAAAACUUGGGCAGGGCUUGGAGUUCCUUGUAACAAGGGGGGGGUAGAAAUUCCCAGGGGUUGGUUAACCGGGGUUGAAAUUGGCGUUAGAAGAUNCUGGAGGGAAUUACCGGUUGGGAAAGGGCGGGGCCCCCUUUGGGGAAC
RNAcentral lists this ribosomal RNA (600 nucleotides) under uncultured bacterium. RNAcentral's name for it is "bacterial SSU rRNA". It matches the Rfam family "Bacterial small subunit ribosomal RNA", at positions 193 to 729 of the family's 1533-position model. The record is from RNAcentral.